RNAcentral lists this transfer RNA (58 nucleotides) under Salmo salar (Atlantic salmon). It matches the Rfam family "tRNA", at positions 8 to 63 of the family's 71-position model. From Rfam's summary of the family: Transfer RNA (tRNA) molecules are approximately 80 nucleotides in length. Their secondary structure includes four short double-helical elements and three loops (D, anti-codon, and T loops). Further hydrogen bonds mediate the characteristic L-shaped molecular structure. tRNAs have two regions of fundamental functional importance: the anti-codon, which is responsible for specific mRNA codon recognition, and the 3' end, to which the tRNAs corresponding amino acid is attached (by aminoacyl-tRNA synthetases). tRNAs cope with the degeneracy of the genetic code in two manners: having more than one tRNA (with a specific anti-codon) for a particular amino acid; and 'wobble' base-pairing, i.e. permitting non-standard base-pairing at the 3rd anti-codon position. The record is from Rfam by way of RNAcentral. Lineage: Eukaryota; Metazoa; Chordata; Actinopteri; Salmoniformes; Salmonidae.
UGGCUCAGUUGGUAGAGCAUGGUGUUUGCAAUGCCAGGGUUGUGGGUUCAAUUUCCAC